This 303-nucleotide ribosomal RNA is filed under the name uncultured bacterium. RNAcentral describes it as "bacterial SSU rRNA". It matches the Rfam family "Bacterial small subunit ribosomal RNA", at positions 30 to 336 of the family's 1533-position model. The record is from RNAcentral.
AUUGAACGCUGGCGGCAUGCCUUACACAUGCAAGUCGAACGGUAGAGGGGGCAACCCCUUGAGAGUGGCGAACGGGUGAGUAAUAUAUCGGAACGUGCCCAGUCGUGGGGGAUAACGUAGCGAAAGUUACGCUAAUACCGCAUACGAUCUAAGGAUGAAAGCGGGGGAGUCGCAAGACCUCGCGCGAUUGGAGCGGCCGAUAUCAGAUUAGGUAGUUGGUGAGGUAAAGGCUCACCAAGCCAACGAUCUGUAGCUGGUCUGAGAGGACGACCAGCCACACUGGAACUGAGACACGGUCCAGAC